ACUCCUACGGGAGGCAGCAGUAAGGAAUAUUGCGCAAUGGGCGAAAGCCUGACGCAGCCACGCCGCGUGGAGGAAGACCACCCCUAUGGGGCGUAAACUCCUUUUAUAUGAGAAGAAGGCCUUGGUCGCCAAGGUUUGACGGUAUCAUAUGAAUAAGCACCGGCUAACUCCGUGCCAGCAGCCGCGGUAAUACGGAGGGUGCAAGCGUUGUCCGGAUUUACUGGGUGUAAAGGGUGUGUAGGUGGAAUUGCAAGUCAGUGGUGAAAUCCUGCGGCUUAACCGUAGAACUGCCAUUGAUACUGCUUUCUUGAGUACUGGAGAGGUCACUAGAAUUCGUGGUGUAGCGGUGAAAUGCGUAGAUAUCACGAGGAAUACCAGAGGCGUAGGCGGGUGACUGGACAGAUACUGACACUGAGGCACGAAAGCGUGGGAGCAAACAGGAUUAGAUA
RNAcentral lists this ribosomal RNA (449 nucleotides) under uncultured bacterium. Its description in RNAcentral is "bacterial SSU rRNA". It matches the Rfam family "Bacterial small subunit ribosomal RNA", at positions 335 to 784 of the family's 1533-position model. The record is from RNAcentral.